GCUCCUGUGGCGCAGUGGUCAGCGCAAUCCUGCAAGGAGAGGCCCUCGGUUCGAACCCGAGCAGAAGCA
Molecule: transfer RNA, 69 nt
Filed under: Clonostachys rosea
Lineage: Eukaryota; Fungi; Ascomycota; Sordariomycetes; Hypocreales; Bionectriaceae
Rfam family: tRNA
About the family: Transfer RNA (tRNA) molecules are approximately 80 nucleotides in length. Their secondary structure includes four short double-helical elements and three loops (D, anti-codon, and T loops).
Source: RNAcentral